Molecule: ribosomal RNA, 786 nt
Filed under: uncultured bacterium
Lineage: Bacteria
Description: bacterial SSU rRNA
Rfam family: Bacterial small subunit ribosomal RNA
Source: RNAcentral
GGCCGCGGGAAUUCCAUUCAAGCCUAACACAUGCAAGUCGAACGGAAAGGCCCUGCUUGCAGGGUACUCGAGUGGCGAACGGGUGAGUAACACGUGGGUGAUCUGCCCUGCACUUCGGGAUAAGCCUGGGAAACUGGGUCUAAUACCGGAUAGGACCAUCGUUUAGUGUCGGUGGUGGAAAGUUUUUCGGUGCAGGAUAAGCUCGCGGCCUAUCAGCUUGUUGGUGGGGUAAUGGCCUACCAAGGCGUCGACGGGUAGCCGGCCUGAGAGGGUGGACGGCCACAUUGGGACUGAGACACGGCCCAGACUCCUACGGGAGGCAGCAGUGGGGAAUAUUGCACAAUGGGCGCAAGCCUGAUGCAGCGACGCCGCGUGGGGGAUGAAGGCCUUCGGGUUGUAAACUCCUUUCAACCAUGACGAAGCAUUAUGUGACGGUAGUGGUAGAAGAAGCACCGGCUAACUACGUGCCAGCAGCCGCGGUAAUACGUAGGGUGCGAGCGUUGUCCGGAAUUACUGGGCGUAAAGAGCUCGUAGGUGGUUUGUCGCGUCGUCUGUGAAAUUCCGGGGCUUAACUCCGGGCGUGCAGGCGAUACGGGCAUAACUUGAGUGCUGUAGGGAAGACUGGAAUUCCUGGUGUAGCGGUGAAAUGCGCAGAUAUCAGGAGGAACACCGAUGGCGAAGGCAGGUCUCUGGGCAGUAACUGACGCUGAGGAGCGAAAGCAUGGGUAGCGAACAGGAUUAGAUACCCUGGUAGUCCAUGCCGUAAACGGUGGGCGCUAGGUGUGG